This 462-nucleotide ribosomal RNA is filed under the name Triticum aestivum (bread wheat). RNAcentral's name for it is "partial small subunit ribosomal RNA". Lineage: Eukaryota; Viridiplantae; Streptophyta; Magnoliopsida; Poales; Poaceae. The record is from RNAcentral.
AUGAGGUCUGAAAUUCCUCUACAUGUGGAAACCAUGGGCAAAAGAAAUGUCAAAUUGAAGGACAGUUGUAUUUACAUCCCCUUGAGACUUGUCGACCAUUUCGAACCUGACAUUACACUCAAAGACCACGAGGACAAGAUACACGGUGUUCGAGCAAGGAAGCACGAUGCUGACCAGAUAGUCUUAGAAUCUAGGUGGGGUGAAUUUGUGUUUAAACAGCGCAUACAAGAGAAUGACCUCAUCAUUUUCAAAAAGGGGAAACCUCACAUCGAAGUUUUCAUCCUUGAGAAAACCUCAUCAUCUUUUCUAACGGGAAAUAAUUCCUGUGCCCAAGAAGUCAUUGAGUUGAGUAGUUCUGAUGACGAUGAGAUCAUGGCUAAGAAGAUGGCUUCAGUAUCCCCCCCUUGCGCUAAAUCAGGUUAUAAUAUUGUAGUUACAUGUGCAAUUUUUUAUUUGCCAUAA